This 460-nucleotide ribosomal RNA is filed under the name uncultured bacterium. RNAcentral's name for it is "partial 16S ribosomal RNA". It matches the Rfam family "Bacterial small subunit ribosomal RNA", at positions 338 to 795 of the family's 1533-position model. The record is from RNAcentral.
CCUACGGGGGGCAGCAGUGAGGAAUAUUGGUCAAUGGACGAGAGUCUGAACCAGCCAAGUAGCGUGAAGGAUGACUGCCCUAUGGGUUGUAAACUUCUUUUAUAUGGGAAUAAAACGUUCCACGUGUGGGAUUUUGUAUGUACCAUAUGAAUAAGGAUCGGCUAACUCCGUGCCAGCAGCCGCGGUAAUACGGAGGAUCCGAGCGUUAUCCGGAUUUAUUGGGUUUACAGGGAGCGUAGGUGGAUUGUUAAGUCAGUUGUGAAAGUUUGCGGCUCAACCGUAAAAUUGCAGUUGAAACUGGCAGUCUUGAGUACAGUAGAGGUGGGCGGAAUUCGUGGUGUAGCGGUGAAAUGCUUAGAUAUCACGAAGAACUCCGAUUGCGAAGGCAGUUCACUGGACUGCAACUGACACUGAGGCUCGAAAGUGUGGGUAUCAAACAGGAUUAGAUACCCCAGUAGUC